AUCGAUUCACGGCCAUUUUUGUUAGGAUCUAUAGUGUACUAUCUGUUCUUCUCGGUUUAAGUUAAUCCCUGAGACGCCGAGAGAUUAUAUUAAGGUUUGGAGCUUGGGACAGGGAUGGCAGCUGACUGCGCCCUUUCUGCGCAUUGUCCCAGUAUUGCACUACUUCCGAAUACAACUAACCAAUU
Molecule: small nuclear RNA, 185 nt
Organism: Corticium candelabrum
Lineage: Eukaryota; Metazoa; Porifera; Homoscleromorpha; Homosclerophorida; Plakinidae
Product: U2 spliceosomal RNA
Exons: 1
Source: RefSeq, a predicted model, not a curated record